GUUCUCUGUAAACAACUGAGCAGGUGUAUUAUUAGGUGUACCUAAUAAAGUGGCUGAUGUAACUGCUUACUGCCAUGAAAGGAACGUAAGGGCAGGGGAAUGACAGAAGGGUAUAAGAAGCACAACACACAGCUAGGAAAGAUAUAGGAAAGAUAUAGGAAAGGGAGAGAGAAUCCAUUUUUUGUCAUGUUGGCUUUUUAAUAAACCUGUUACUCACUUUGAUAAAGA
Molecule: long non-coding RNA, 228 nt
Organism: Pygocentrus nattereri (red-bellied piranha)
Lineage: Eukaryota; Metazoa; Chordata; Actinopteri; Characiformes; Serrasalmidae
Exons: 2
Source: RefSeq, a predicted model, not a curated record